RNAcentral lists this transfer RNA (43 nucleotides) under Trieres chinensis. RNAcentral describes it as "partial Selenocysteine transfer RNA". Lineage: Eukaryota; Bacillariophyta; Thalassiosirophyceae; Eupodiscales; Parodontellaceae. The record is from RNAcentral.
CCCCGCGUCUUCACGGGGGGAGAGGCGGGACUUUGUCGCCUGG